UUCGGGAAGGUGUCUCCCGGUGCUUUCCGGCUUUGCCGGCAGGAGAAUCGGGAAGGCGGUGCGAAUCCGCCACGUGCCCAGCGCUGUGAGGAUGACGGGCGAUGCACAGGCCACUGCUGCGGCGGGAAGGCGCAUCGUCCGGGUGAAUCCGAGUCAGAAGACCGGCCGGGAGACUUAACACGGC
This 184-nucleotide non-coding RNA is filed under the name Azonexus hydrophilus. Lineage: Bacteria; Pseudomonadati; Pseudomonadota; Betaproteobacteria; Rhodocyclales; Azonexaceae. The record is from RNAcentral.